Salmo salar (Atlantic salmon) is the source of this 72-nucleotide non-coding RNA. The record is from Rfam. NCBI's taxonomy places the organism in Eukaryota, Metazoa, Chordata, Actinopteri, Salmoniformes, Salmonidae.
UCCCAUGUGGCUCAGUUGGUAGAGUGUGGUGUUUGCAAUGCCAGGGUUGUGGGUUUGAUUCCCACGGGGGAC